Molecule: long non-coding RNA, 481 nt
Organism: Manduca sexta (tobacco hornworm)
Lineage: Eukaryota; Metazoa; Arthropoda; Insecta; Lepidoptera; Sphingidae
Exons: 2
Source: RefSeq, a predicted model, not a curated record
AUUCGAUCUUUAUACGAUUAUCGAUUUUCGAUUUUAUUUAUUUACAAACUAGUGCCACAUCUCUAAAACCGCGCGCUUACGCAGCUCGCUUGAAGCGGCCAUUUUGUGCGGUUUGUGUUUCGAUGUGCCUAGUAAAUCGAAAAGUUUGCAAUAAUAAUUAUUGUAGUGCCUGCGUGAUGGUAUAUGUGAACAGGAUCCAUAGAAACUUUUGGGUAUUUACAAAUAAAAUCUUAUACAAAUGGACCAAGUAUUAAUGAAUCGCUUAUUGCUAAUAAGUGACGAAAUUAAAAUAUUAACAGACUGUGCUCUCACACAAAGUGCUAGUUACAAUAACGAUGAUAAGACAAAAGCCUGCAUUAUCGUCGCUAAACUAAAAGCAAUGUUGGGUAAAUUUGGUCAUGAAUUGCAUACUUACUUUAAUACCUCUCAAGAACCAGAUAUAGAUGAAGUGUCUACACUCACUAGCAUACAGCUACAUGGA